CGUGUGUGAUUAUAUCGUAUAGAGCUGCUGAGGGGAGUGUGUCAAAGCGUGCAUGCCACACAAUGUGCCUGGAGAGAUUGAUGUUUUUGUCAUCCACCUGCUUCAAAGCCGUAAAAAGCCGGCUGAUGCAAAUAGAGAAAACCCUAGCAAGGCAGGCUCACAAACAAAAGAGGGGGAACCUCACUGCUCCUCUUUGCACAUCUGUUUUGAAGGAAUAUCUGAGGGUUUCUGUGGUGACGCACACUGGGCUCUAAUGAACACUGAAUCUGAGUCUUGUACCUGGAAGUGGUGUGAGCGUGGUGUGUGAAGUCUAAACUCGGGAUUACAGGCCUUGCACCCGCUGAACGACACAAGCUGAUGGGAUUACAGGAGACGGGUUCCUGUCCUGCCCCCAACCCCUCCCCCCACUUCACAGGAUUUGGAUGAGUGAAAAUGGGCCAUGCAGUUAUGAGAUGGGAGCAGAGGAGGCAGCCAGGGUGGCAUGCUGACUGGAGGAGUGCCAACUGCUCUCAACCAGUGAAAACGAUACAGACCUCAUCAGGUCCCGGCAGCUGCUACCUUUGCACCACAAGUCCACCAGCAAACAGCUUUUAUGCAUGCAGUGGACGUGGCCUGUAAUGUCUCUCUGAUUGGACUGCACCGGCUGAUGGUUUUAAUAAACACACACUCCGAGGAGGUCAGAGGUCAACAUCAUUUAGAUUCAUUUGCUGCACAGGUGGUGGGCCUAUGUAGAGGGGACUUCCUGUUGCUCUGCCAGAUUUGACUCAAACAAGCUCCUGCUCCCAGGCCGGACUACAUGAAGGUGCCCCUGUUAGGUGCAGAGUUCCACUUCUGGAAUUGGAUCCAUAACUGGAAGUAGUGUUUUGAACAACACAGCUGUCUACAGACCUGAGGGCUGUAAGAACAACAGGAGCUGCUUCGCACCAUAAAGCUGCUGGACAAACCUCUCCCUGGAUAGCUCACACCUAACCCCUUUGUCAUUCAUCUCCGCUCCCCGACUCCUCGCCUGCUCCUUCUCCCUUCUCCACGUGGCCUAUGUCACCUCCCUUUUCCUAUGCACUCGCUGGCUAGUUGACAGUUAGAGCCGGUCAAGGUCAUCCACCCACCCACACUCCUUCCCAAGAGCUCGAAGAGGUGCAGUAGUGGAGCUGAAAGCCCUACGCCCCAGUGGCUCCCUGACUCCCUGUGAGAACCAAGUGAAGUGCGGGCUCCUCUGCUGGGAGAGCAGGCUGCCGGCCUGAAGGUUUGGCCUCGGACUGACGCUCCUUCUGUGGCGAGCCCGGGCCAGACACAGCCUGCCAGGAGCUGACUUGACCUCCUCAAACUGAUGUGGCACAGGCUGGCAAAGCGGUCACUGCUGCUGCACAGUUUGGGAGGAAAAAGAAAACGAUCUCUGCCCCUUUCUCACUUGCUCACUGAGCGCAGCUUUAUCCUUUGUUCUUUUCCACAUGAAUUUUCUUUUUUUCUACAUUUGGUACUUAGUUUCUGCAAAGCACUGAACACCGAUAUUAAGAACUCAUAAAUUUAAAAGGGCUCUCGUGAAAUUUAAAGGCAUAAAUCUGUCCAAACUUGUAAUAAAGAUUACUUUAAUUUA
Long non-coding RNA from Austrofundulus limnaeus, 1594 nucleotides. RefSeq lists it as uncharacterized. The record is from RefSeq and is a predicted model, not a curated record. NCBI's taxonomy places the organism in Eukaryota, Metazoa, Chordata, Actinopteri, Cyprinodontiformes, Rivulidae. The transcript has 8 exons.